RNAcentral lists this transfer RNA (65 nucleotides) under Mesargus serrata. RNAcentral's name for it is "tRNA-Thr". Lineage: Eukaryota; Metazoa; Arthropoda; Insecta; Hemiptera; Cicadellidae. The record is from RNAcentral.
GUUUUAAUAAUUUAAUUAAAAUAUUAAUUUUGUAAAUUAAAAUUAGGAAACUUUCCUUUAAAACA